ACAAGCGGUGGAGUAUGUGGUUUAAUUCGAUGCAACGCGAAGAACCUUACCUGGUCUUGACAUCCCGGAGACCCUUAGGAAACUAGGGGGUGCUUCCAUCUGGAAGAAUCUGGAGACAGGUGCUGCAUGGCUGUCGUCAGCUCGUGUCGUGAGAUGUUGGGUUAAGUCCCGCAACGAGCGCAACCCUUGCCUUUAGUUGCCAGCAGUUCGGCUGGGCACUCUAAAGGGACUGCCGGUGUUAAACCGGAGGAAGGUGGGGAUGACGUCAAGUCCUCAUGGCCUUUAUGACCAGGGCUACACACGUACUACAAUGGCCGAUACAAAGGGCAGCGACACUGCGAGGUGAAGCCAAUCCCGUAAAAUCGGUCUCAGUCCGGAUUGGAGUCUGCAACUCGACUCCAUGAAGUUGGAAUCGCUAGUAAUCGCAGAUCAGCAACGCUGCGGUGAAUACGUUCCCGGGCCUU
This 464-nucleotide ribosomal RNA is filed under the name uncultured Desulfobulbus sp. Its description in RNAcentral is "bacterial SSU rRNA". It matches the Rfam family "Bacterial small subunit ribosomal RNA", at positions 925 to 1382 of the family's 1533-position model. Lineage: Bacteria; Pseudomonadati; Thermodesulfobacteriota; Desulfobulbia; Desulfobulbales; Desulfobulbaceae. The record is from RNAcentral.